Molecule: non-coding RNA, 21 nt
Filed under: Caenorhabditis elegans
Lineage: Eukaryota; Metazoa; Nematoda; Chromadorea; Rhabditida; Rhabditidae
Source: RNAcentral
UGGCACAAUUGUAUUCAAUUU